This 522-nucleotide ribosomal RNA is filed under the name uncultured bacterium. Its description in RNAcentral is "bacterial SSU rRNA". It matches the Rfam family "Bacterial small subunit ribosomal RNA", at positions 375 to 888 of the family's 1533-position model. The record is from RNAcentral.
GGGGAACCCUGAUCCAGCCAUGCCGCGUGUGUGAAGAAGGCCUUUUGGUUGUAAAGCACUUUAAGCGAGGAGGAGGCUUACCUAGUUAAUACCUGGGAUAAGUGGACGUUACUCGCAGAAUAAGCACCGGCUAACUCUGUGCCAGCAGCCGCGGUAAUACAGAGGGUGCGAGCGUUAAUCGGAUUUACUGGGCGUAAAGCGUGCGUAGGCGGCUUUUUAAGUCGGAUGUGAAAUCCCCGAGCUUAACUUGGGAAUUGCAUUCGAUACUGGGAAGCUAGAGUAUGGGAGAGGAUGGUAGAAUUCCAGGUGUAGCGGUGAAAUGCGUAGAGAUCUGGAGGAAUACCGAUGGCGAAGGCAGCCAUCUGGCCUAAUACUGACGCUGAGGUACGAAAGCAUGGGGAGCAAACAGGAUUAGAUACCCUGGUAGUCCAUGCCGUAAACGAUGUCUACUAGCCGUUGGGGCCUUUGAGGCUUUAGUGGCGCAGCUAACGCGAUAAGUAGACCGCCUGGGGAGUACGGUCG